UGUGAACAAGACUGAAGGAUACAGAGGACUCUGCCCAAGGAUGCACAGUUGAAGUCCUAUUUUAUUGCAAAGGUAUGAACAUGGACCACAGGAAGCAUGUUAAUGCAGAAAGCAGGAGUCUGAGAU
Long non-coding RNA from Mastomys coucha (southern multimammate mouse), 126 nucleotides. RefSeq lists it as uncharacterized. The record is from RefSeq and is a predicted model, not a curated record. The transcript is spliced from 3 exons. Lineage: Eukaryota; Metazoa; Chordata; Mammalia; Rodentia; Muridae.